CGAAAUGCGAUAAGUAAUGUGAAUUGCAGAAUUCCGUGAAUCAUCGAAUCUUUGAACGCACAUUGCGCCCUCUGGUAUUCCGGGGGCAUGCCUGUCCGAGCGUCAUUGCGAACCCCUCAAGCACGGCUUGUGUGAUGGGCCCUCCCGCGUCUUGGUCGUCAAGACGGGCCCGAAAUGCAGUGGCGGCUUCGCGGUUAUCCGAUCAGCCAGAGCGUAUGGGGACUCUCUCUCUUGUCACACGCCCGCGGCGCGGACCGACGCCUGUCGACCUUUAGUCAUCUUCUCUCGGUUGACCUCGGAUCAGGUAGGGAUACCCGCUGAACUUAAGC
RNAcentral lists this unclassified non-coding RNA (329 nucleotides) under plant metagenome. RNAcentral describes it as "partial contains 5.8S ribosomal RNA, internal transcribed spacer 2, and large subunit ribosomal RNA". The stretch from base 1 to 105 matches the Rfam family "5.8S ribosomal RNA", at positions 49 to 154 of the family's 154-position model. The record is from RNAcentral.